AUUGAACGCUGGCGGCAGGCUUAACACAUGCAAGUCGAGCGGAGUGAUGGUGCUUGCACUAUCACUUAGCGGCGGACGGGUGAGUAAUGCUAGGAAUCUGCCUAUUAGUGGGGGACAACAUCUCGAAAGGGAUGCUAAUACCGCAUACGUCCUACGGGAGAAAGCAGGGGAUCACUUGUGACCUUGCGCUAAUAGAUGAGCCUAAGUCGGAUUAGCUAGUUGGUGGGGUAAAGGCCUACCCAGGCGACGAUCUGUAGCGGGUCUGAGAGGAUGAUCCGCCACACUGGGACUUAGCAACGGCCCAGACUCCUACGGGAGGCAGCAGUGGGGAAUAUUGGACAAUGGGGGGAACCCUGAUCCAGCCAUGCCGCGUGUGUGAAGAAGGCCUUAUGGUUGUAAAGCACUUUAAGCGAGGAGGAGGCUCUUUUGGUUAAUACCCAAGAUGAGUGGACGUUACUCGCAGAAUAAGCACCGGCUAACUCUGUGCCAGCAGCCGCCGUAA
This 502-nucleotide ribosomal RNA is filed under the name uncultured bacterium. RNAcentral's name for it is "partial 16S ribosomal RNA". It matches the Rfam family "Bacterial small subunit ribosomal RNA", at positions 30 to 523 of the family's 1533-position model. The record is from RNAcentral.